Molecule: ribosomal RNA, 447 nt
Filed under: uncultured bacterium
Lineage: Bacteria
Description: bacterial SSU rRNA
Rfam family: Bacterial small subunit ribosomal RNA
Source: RNAcentral
AACGAACGCUGGCGGCAGGCCUAACACAUGCAAGCCGAACGCUCUAGCAAUAGAGAGUGGCAGACGGGUGAGUAACGCGUGGGAACCUUCCCUAUGGUGUGGAAUAACUCGCCGAAAGGCGAGCUAAUACCGCAUAAGCCCGCAAGGGGAAAGAUUUAUCGCCAUAGGAUGGGCCCGCGUAGGAUUAGCUAGUUGGUGAGGUAAUGGCUCACCAAGGCGACGANCCUUAGCUGGUUUGAGAGAAUGACCAGCCACACUGGGACUGAGACACGGCCCAGACUCCUACGGGAGGCAGCAGUGGGGAAUCUUGGACAAUGGGCGCAAGCCUGAUCCAGCCAUGCCGCGUGAGUGACGAAGGCCUUAGGGUUGUAAAGCUCUUUUGGCGGGGACGAUAAUGACGGUACCCGCAGAAUAAGCCCCGGCUAACUUCGUGCCAGCCGCCGCCGU